AGGCAUAUCCAUUUUGACAAAAUAUUUUUAUUCUUAUUUCUUAAAAAAUGAGAUUAUGCAUUUGGCAACAGCGUAUUUUUUCGUUGGCAACUGUUUUCCAGCGACAGGAUUAGGGAAUGAUGGCGAGGCUGGUUCGUCGAUGGGUUUAGACGGAGAUAGAGAAAGGGCGACGGGAAAGGGGAGAGGGAGACGACGGUAUAGCGGCGAGACUGAUUCGCCGGUGGAUAUAUUCGCUGGUUGGUGGACUGAUUGCGCGAGAAAGGUAAAAAGGAGAGGUCGCUGGCGUUAUUGUUGGUGGUUACUGGUUUUGGGGUGACGAGAAAAGGGGAACGGUGAUGUGGCAAUGGUCACCGGGAAAGGGAGAAGGACGACAGCCAUGGAGCUUUACUGGUGGAUCUGAAUGGGAAAAGGGGAAGGGGAGAUCGACGCGAUGACGCCGUCAUUCUGUUGNN
This 452-nucleotide long non-coding RNA is filed under the name Capsicum annuum. Its description in RNAcentral is "long non-coding RNA (CANN_LNC017281)". Lineage: Eukaryota; Viridiplantae; Streptophyta; Magnoliopsida; Solanales; Solanaceae. The record is from RNAcentral.